This 484-nucleotide ribosomal RNA is filed under the name uncultured bacterium. RNAcentral describes it as "SSU rRNA". It matches the Rfam family "Bacterial small subunit ribosomal RNA", at positions 26 to 519 of the family's 1533-position model. The record is from RNAcentral.
AGGACGAACGCUGGCGGCGUGCCUAACACAUGCAAGUCGAACGCGCUCCAUUCGGUAGCAAUACUGAUGAAGAGCGAGUGGCGAACGGGUGAGUAGCACGUGAGCAACCUGCCCCGAAGACUGGGACAACACCGGGAAACCGGUGCUAAUACCGGAUAUCCCUAUUGGAUCGCAUGAUCCGAUAAGGAAAUGUUUUUCGCUUCGGGAGGGGCUCGCGGCCUAUCAGCUAGUUGGUGGGGUAACGGCCCACCAAGGCAUCGACGGGUAGCUGGUCUGAGAGGACGAUCAGCCACACUGGGACUGAGACACGGCCCAGACUCCUACGGGAGGCAGCAGUGGGGAAUCUUGCGCAAUGGGCGAAAGCCUGACGCAGCAACGCCGCGUGGAGGACGAAGGCUUUCUGAGUUGUAAACUCCUUUCAGCAGGGACGAUUGUGACGGUACCUGCAGAAGAAGCACCGGCCAACUACGUGCCAGGCAGGCCG